RNAcentral lists this ribosomal RNA (291 nucleotides) under Triticum aestivum (bread wheat). RNAcentral's name for it is "partial small subunit ribosomal RNA". The record is from RNAcentral. Lineage: Eukaryota; Viridiplantae; Streptophyta; Magnoliopsida; Poales; Poaceae.
AUGGACUACAGGCAGUUCUACUGCAUGACCCUGCGGAUGAGCAUAGACUGCAACGGGUGCUACCAGAAGAUCAGGAGGGCGCUGCUCCAGAUGCAAGAGCUGGAGAGCCACCUGAUCGACCGGAAGCACGGCCGGGUGAGCGUCUGGGGCGCCUUCAGCCCGCAGGACGUGGCCAUCAAGAUCAGGAAGCGGACCAACCGGCGCGUCGAGAUAUUGGAGCUCAGGGAGGCCGCAGGGCCGGGGGGCGCCGACGAGCAGGGCGCCGGCGGCGGGCAGAUGCCCUCAAACUGA